GAUGAACGCUGGCGGCGUGCUUAACACAUGCAAGUCGAACGGUGAAGGCGGAGCUUGCUCUGCUGGAUCAGUGGCGAACGGGUGAGUAACACGUGAGCAAUCUGCCCCUGACUCUGGGAUAAGCGCUGGAAACGGCGUCUAAUACUGGAUACGAGCUGCGAAGGCAUCUUCAGCAGCUGGAAAGAACUUCGGUCAGGGAUGAGCUCGCGGCCUAUCAGCUUGUUGGUGAGGUAACGGCUCACCAAGGCGUCGACGGGUAGCCGGCCUGAGAGGGUGACCGGCCACACUGGGACUGAGACACGGCCCAGACUCCUACGGGAGGCAGCAGUGGGGAAUAUUGCACAAUGGGCGAAAGCCUGAUGCAGCAACGCCGCGUGAGGGACGACGGCCUUCGGGUUGUAAACCUCUUUUAGCAGGGAAGAAGCGAAAGUGACGAUACCUGCAGAAAAAGCGCCGGCUAACUACGUG
RNAcentral lists this ribosomal RNA (468 nucleotides) under uncultured bacterium. RNAcentral's name for it is "partial 16S ribosomal RNA". It matches the Rfam family "Bacterial small subunit ribosomal RNA", at positions 28 to 507 of the family's 1533-position model. The record is from RNAcentral.